UACGGAGGGUGCGAGCGUUGUCCGGAAUCAUUGGGCGUAAAGGGCGCGUAGGUGGCGUGACAAGCGUGCGGUGAAAGCUCGGGGCUCAACCCCGAGUCGGCCGUGCGAACUGUUUUGCUUGAGCACUGUAGAGGCAGGCGGAAUUCCGGGUGUAGCGGUGGAAUGCGUAGAGAUCCGGAAGAACACCGGUGGCGAAGGCGGCCUGCUGGGCAGUGGCUGACACUGAGGCGCGACAGCGUGGGGAGCAAACAGG
Molecule: ribosomal RNA, 253 nt
Filed under: uncultured bacterium
Lineage: Bacteria
Description: partial 16S ribosomal RNA
Rfam family: Bacterial small subunit ribosomal RNA
Source: RNAcentral